AUGCAAGCGUGAUGUGUGCCGGGCUGGGGGGUGGAGAGAGGCUCCCCCUCCCGCCUUAAAGCUUCACUUAGCCAGAAAUGAACAUGUACCCUUUCAAAAGAGCUUCUUCCCUGUUUCCAAUCGCCCCACCGCACCGGGAUCUCCCUCAGCCUCACCCGGAGCUCCCUCUGCCCCCGCCGCCCAGCCUGGCUCCCUUCCCCGGCCCCUUACCCCGGCUCGGAGCCUAGAUUGUCCCAGCAUGAGUGACAUUGGCUUUCCUAAUGUAAUGACUUAUGAAAGAUAUAAUCAUGUGUUAAAUUGAAUCCUCCGCUUAACUGUUAAUGGUGUGCUCUGGGCACAUUUACGUAUUAGAUGCUAUGGUAACUAAUUACCACUAGAAGAAGGGAUAAUACACUUUCCAGACUUUGACAAAUAAUUAUGAGUGUUCACAUCCCUGCUAGCAGCAGUUGCAGCGGAUCUGCUGGAAUGAGUAAGUGAAUAAAUGAAUGGGCCGGACUGAUCCUGAGGCUCUGAGCAAUGGGCGAAGCUCCUUGUCGGAGCGGGACAAAAGUUUGGGCAAGUCGCUCUGGGCCCCUGCGCGGGUUCGCUGAUGCCCGUGGGGCCCGAUCCCGCCUGGGAGAGCUCCGGCACCAGCGGAGCCCACGGAGGGCGCAGGGCAGGCUCUCCCUGAAGCGCUGUGCCCGGCUCAGGCCGGCGCCGCAGGGGUUAAGCCGACUGUGCCCGCUCCGCGCUGCCAUCCCGCCGGAGCCGGAGCCGGAGCGGGCACGGCUGCCCCGGCCCCCAGCCCCACGCGGGGGCUCCUCGCAGCCCUCCACGCCGCAGAGAGGACAUCUGCUAAAUGAGCACAGGGCUGCAGCCAGCACCGUCUACCCCCGGUCACUCAUCAGCUCGGUGUCACCCAGCCCGCCCACACCCGCCCCCGAAGCGCUCCGGAGGGGAAUCUGGUCUGGUUCGGCUCGUUCUCCAGCCUCGGGAAGGGUUAAAUCCUUCCCCAAGCCCCUAGUUGCCCUUGUCCUCUCAACCUGAUUCAGAGACGUGUAAUAAAAUAGGAAGCAAAUUUAUGGUCUGUUUCAAGCACUUUACUGCUGUAUUUUUAAAUUCAUAUAUGCACAUAUAAGAACUAUGAUCUGUGAAUAAUUUGAAAUGCUAUAGGAAAAUGAUGUAUUUUAGAUCAAACAUAACCGUUUUCUUACGUAAUUGUCUCGGAUUAAAAUAAAAAAAUAAAGAUACAUUUCGAAGAGAGACAAAGCUGAAAAUCUAAUGACAGCCAUAAACUGCUAGACAGCCAUAAAUUAACGUCUUCAUCAAACACUGAAGGGAUCAGUGCUUGUCUAAAUCAACAAUUAUUUCUUCCGAGAAGUUGCAGAACAGAUUGCCCCUUUAAUACUAUUUUUAAAUCUUCAUAAUUGAGGAUUAGGGAAAAACAAUCGCCUUUCCAGAGUAAACCUCCUCUCCACCAGCCGAAGCCAUCCAAACUCACCGAACACCCAGACUGCUUCCCUGGGAACCUCCUCGGGGGUCCCGUCCCCUUGACCCACUGCAGCAUCCCUGGGAGCUCGUGUUAGGAAAGGGCAUGCAGGAGUCUUUCCUCACCCCCCUCUCCCCUGAUUUUUGUCGCAGGCCGGGGGAGGUGGGAGCGCCGGGAGCACAAGCCGGCGGCGGGAGCCCGGCGGGCAGCGGGCGGGGAUGCGGGGAUGCAGGGAUGCGGGAAUGCGGGUCCCGCCGCCGCCGCGGGCCGGGGGCAUCCCGGAGCGGCAGCAUCCCCCGGUGCUUCCACCAGCAGCUCAACUAACGCUCAUCCGCUUUCCAGGUUCAAAGCUUUAGCGAGGCGGCACUUCUCCCAGCUGCAGCCACCUGCGAAGCCGGUUUUGCAAGAGGCUGCUGUAAAGAAUUCAUUUUUUAAAGGCAACUGAAAGAUACGUUGUGAAGAGAGGCGAUUCACUGGCUCGCAAGAUGGAAAUUAGACAGGGAGAGACUUGCUGCCUGUAGGAGAUUAGCGAGCGACUAAACUGUUUGGAAGAAAGAGGUAGUUGGAAAGAUGAGCUGAUGGGGAAGAAGUCGCUGUCAAAAGUCAUCACAGGGUGUUUGCCUACUGACUUUUACUCUCCCUGUAGCCAGAACUUAGACUUUUAUUCAACUUUUCUGUACUCAUAGCUGCUGGUUUUGGGGAAAAGAAAAAUAAACCGACACAUUAGUGUCAAAAUGGGUUUAACAAAUCUUUGAAGAUAGAAAGAAUCCUGCAAGGGUUCUAGCCAGAACAGCUGAAGCUUAGGCUACUUUUGAUUAUUUAUUUUGGUGUGAAUAGUUUUGAAGACGAGCACAUUUCUACUAUUCUGAAUGAUGUACUCAUACAACCUCAGUAAAUGAGAUCCCAGGAAAGCCUGAUGCAGAGAAUAAACACAGAACUGGUUUAUAUGAGGAUCAACACCCCACCAGAGCUUCCUUGCUUUCACUUUAAAAUGAAACAUUGUUUACUUUUUAAAUAUGCUAUUAUAUAUAUUUAUUUAUUUAUAGCUAAUUAUAAACAUAGACAAUAACUUAAGGAUCAUGAUACUUUCAUAAACAUACCUUUGAGGGGUGUUUUUGUAAUGAGAUAAUUUUUCUGCUAUGUAGUAGGUAUGGAGACAUGACUAGCCAGAGUACAUAGGCUGGUUUAGGUAGUAGACAGGAAAAUACUUCACUUUCUAUGGUCUGGCAGCUAGAAUAGUUCUAUUCAUAUGAGUUAAGCAUAUGCAUAAUUUGAUACCUUGAACAGUUUUAAAAUACAGUGCUAUACAAGAAACAUCAAAUAAAAUACUAGAUAAAAUACAGUGCUAGGGGAUCUCACAAACUCCUUCCUUUCGAGCUAUCUUUCAGACCAUUAUGGAAAGCUCACUCAGAAAUGUGCCCUUUAAGAAAUCUCAAACAAUGUCACUUUUUAAUGUAUAAAUUUCAAUAACUUCUAAUGUAGCCUGGAGAAUUAGAACAAUUGCACAGCUACACACACAUUUACCAAACUCAGAAAAUGCUGCAGGUCUGUCUUCUCUAGGAAGCAUCUUCAGUAACCCUUGCAGACAUACCUGACAAGUAUUUCUGCAUGAAGGAAUGGAGAAACACCGAUGUCUUUAGGGUACAGCCUUCCUAUUAAAUACCUGGAGAACUCAGCAGCUACAGUGAUACCUAGAAAAGCCAAGUUGUGCUUUGCUGGUGCAGUGCUGUGCAUCAUAACAAUUUCAUUCAUAUCCCCUUUUAAAAUGAAUGAUCUGUGAAGACAGAAUAUUUUACUUUAGGUAGUACAUCUUGUACAACAUGGAGGUUUGCAAAAGUAAAAGCCUAGGAGUUGUACUUAGGAAUCACUAGUGAACUGCAGAUCUUUAUAUUAAUUUUGAAUGAUGUCCUAAGAAUGUCAGAAGUACCACUUUUUUAUCUCACCUGAUGAGAACUGGCUUAUGUUUCCUGGUGGGGGGGGGGUGUAAUAAAAAAGACACGAUACUUUCUAAUACUCAGAGGAGUUUCUGUAUUUCACUACUGAGUUAAAGGCUUUUUUUUUUUAAUUACAGAAAUACCUGUCAAGAUCAAGUAACAGAAAAAUGUAGUAUGUAAAAAUAAUAAUUUAAAAAUUAAAGCAAUAGUUGUGAAUCUGUGAGAAAAGUAUAAGCAUAAGCUGGAAAAAAUACCACACACAAUAAUUCAGUAUUAAAAUAGAUAUAUUCCUUUUUAUUGUGCCCUUAAAAUACAAAAUUCCUUUAAGAUGUUAGAUUACUAAAAUAAUGAAUUUUCUAUUUUCUUGCUCAGGAGUACCUUAGUUGAUCUAGGAACUUGAACAAUGGAUAUUAACUGUUAAAGUGGAACCUAGCCAUUGUUCAUCUAUAUACAAAUUGUGAGUUUGCAAAAUUAAGAGCACUUCACAAUCUCUUGAAUGACCAUUCAAUAAUGACAAAAUAAAAGAUCAUGUAAAAUUCUACAAGAAAAAUUCACAGACCAGUAACUAUUCAUAAAAAUAGCAAUGCCAAAAAUAGUGACGUGCAGCUGGCUUAAAAGCAUAAAGAACAACUCUUACAUGGUUUUAUAUUAUUACAUUAGGACAUAUUGACAGAUAUGAAAAUCUAAUUUGCAAACAGGUACACAUAUAGUAGAUGGUUUCCUAAAUAAUGGAACAUUUUAAAAAGUUUACAAUAGCAUCUAGCAGUACUAAGUGCCAGCAUGAAAAUGGAGAACAUUCAAUCUGUAAAUUAAAAUAAGAAGAAUAAUUAAAAAACUAUGUUUUAGCAUUCACAUGAUAAAUUAACUUUCUUCUUGGGUGCUAUAAAGGGCCAGACUGACUUAAUAAACCUAUUUUUUUAAUGAGAAAAAAGGUGCUUAUAUAUAUAUUUUUAAUAGCAGAAGAUAGUAUUGAUACAGCUAUAGACACCAACAACUCACAGUCAGUGAGUAGUUGGUAGUGACCAGCCGAGUCACAUCUCAGACUGAUGGGUGAGUGCACCAAUUCCUCAGGGAACAGCAGAGGAAUUCAGGGGUACCCAUGUGCUCCUCCUGCCUGAUCCUGCACUGCCAGGUCUGUGCAUGCCCCCAGAAGGCACGGCUGGGCUGGCAGGGCAGAUCUCUCUGCUGAAGUGGAGAGGUGGGAGAGGGAAGCCCAGGUCUGCCUCCUCCCACCCUGCCCUGCAGCCCCACUGAACGCUGGCAAAGGGAGCUGCUCUUUCUGCCUAGAUGACUGUGCCUCUUUGUGCUCCAGUGACCCACACUCAGAGCUGCACAAUCCUGGGUCCUGCAGCACAGGAGGUCAUCAAAAAGGGUCUUGUACCCUAUGCAAUGAAACAUGCUCUUCUUGGCACAGCACCCUGCAGCUAGCUUGGCUCCAGCUGGGACUUUUGGGGAUGCUACUCCCUGUUGCGCUGUCUCAGCUUAUUGACCAGGAAUGCCAACACCAUGGGCCUUUCAGUCCUGCUCCAUGGAGACUGAGUCACUCCUGGUCAGACCAGCUGCUGCCCCUCAGUAUGUCCCCUCCUCAGUGGCUGAAUACAUGGACCAGAAGGGCUUAACCUCCCUGUCCAGCUCCAGCUCUCACGGCUUUACAUGGGGUGAGGCUUUCUUCCUCAGCAGCUGAGGUGUGCCAAGGUAGUGAUGCACUGCUUACCAGCCAAACCAAUCUACCAGGAGCCUGCGUUACCAGGGACACAAUUCCGGGCCAGGCUGGGCAGACCCUGCCUUGCAUUUGAUUAUUUUGGUUCUUGAGCAAAAAGAGCAAGCAUUUUUAACCCAGCAGAAUGCUGGUCUCUUGUGUGGUGCUCUCUAACUCUGAUGCAAGGUCUCCAAGCACCUUCAUAGAGGUUUCAUCCAACUCCUAGAAAAGACUCUGACCCUUUUCUCUCUCUUUUUUUUUUUAAUGGAGCAUACCAUACAGAUUUAAUUUGCUACUAUAGCAUAUAGCAUAUAUUAUGGAGAUAAUCUAGUUCUUCUUUUAAUUUCAGAAUAGAUACCAUACAAAUUGAUCAGCAAUUAAUCUGAAACUACUAAUUAUUUGCAUGUACUUUUGGCACAGUCCUAUUAUGCCCUAUCAAAUUAUGCAGCAGCCAGUGAUACUCUAAUUCAAAAUCCUAAAAAUAGAAUACAAUUAUAAAGAGGCUUCUGUUUAAAACAAAUACCCACUGUUUUUUUUUGCAGUUGCUUCAGGUUUGUUUUAAAGUUGGAUGCCAAAGAAGGAUUCAUCAUAAUUAUAGCAUGAGACAUUUUACAGCUUACAUAUAAGCAAUAAUGGAAUACAAUCAACAGUGUAAUGAUAUCAACAUUCCCUCUCUCAAUAAACCAGGCUCUAAUGUCCAAAGUGGAUUGUGAGCUACAGCUGAGUACAGAAUAGCUUCUACAGAGCAGCCACAGGAGUAAGUAACCUGAGUACAAGAAUGUCUCCAUAAAAACCAAUUUUACUUUGUGGCACAAAACAAUAAUCAGAUUUUGCUGUUGAUUAAAUGUGGAAGUAAAGUUAAAGCAUUUAAUCAACUGCAAAGUCCGUUCAAUGUAAGUGUACUCCUAAUUUGUAGACAUUAUUGAUACUAUAUAUGAAGAGAAAAUGUUUAUACGAUAUAUCUCAAAAAAACACUAUUUCAUUCAUGGAGGACUUGGAAUGUGGCUAUACCAACCUCUGAAAGUCUUUCUACUGAUGAUGACACUUAUUUAGGGUAUGUGCUUUACACAAAUAACUGAACAGGCUUCUACAAAAACAACAAUAAGUAAUUCUUAGUAUGUAGGUAGUAGUUUUCAUCCAUAGGCCAUCAAGUGCCAUAUAGAUUAGUAGAAUUUCUGAUUUUGAAAGACUUACUCUGCCACAUCCCAAAGAGAGUUGUUUUUUUAGGAAGACAAGGCAAGGCCCACAGAUGUGGCUAUUCUGCCAUUACAAUUAUCAUCUUGGCAAACUGAGACUGGACAGCCACGGGAAUCCUCACCAAUCUCUGAAGUGAUGGCUGGGAAGAGAGACAGGGUCUAAACUCUCAGAUUUUGUGCACUAGGAAAUUAAUUUUCCAAACAAGAGCUGGGCACCCAGUGAAGCAGGUUGGGCAGCCAGGAUAAACUUCUGUGGCUGCCCAGGGUUUUCACUUGCUCAAAUUUUGGCCCCAGGGAAGAGCCUGUUUUCCAAUUUGCAGAUGGACAAGUCUGUUUCCAAACACAGGUCACACUACUCUGCCUAACAACUUAGGCAAGGUAAAACAAUGUUAAAAAGCAUUUUUAGAUACCAGACUUGCCCUUGAAACUGUCUUCCUCUUUUGUCUUUUUGGAGAAAUGAACAAACUUAAGAAACGGUCAAAACAAAUGCAUGAACAUGUUACUAAGAAACAGUGAGAGAAAGAGAAGCUAAUUUUCGAAGUGAUAAUUUCAAAUGGGCUUCUAUAUUUUCUCCCUGAAGAACAUGCUUUUUUGGGGGGGCUCAAGAGCCAAAAUAGAUAAUUUAGGCUUGAUCGAGAGCCUAUUAAAAUCAACAGAACUUCUCUUCUGAUGUUAAAAUGAUUGCAGGAAAGAAAUCACAUGUUUUAAAUUUUUAACUGCACCAAAAAAAAAAAAAA
Zonotrichia albicollis (white-throated sparrow) is the source of this 7034-nucleotide non-coding RNA. NCBI's taxonomy places the organism in Eukaryota, Metazoa, Chordata, Aves, Passeriformes, Passerellidae. The record is from RefSeq and is a predicted model, not a curated record.